Rattus norvegicus (Norway rat) is the source of this 5425-nucleotide non-coding RNA. The record is from RefSeq and is a predicted model, not a curated record. NCBI's taxonomy places the organism in Eukaryota, Metazoa, Chordata, Mammalia, Rodentia, Muridae.
AAGUACCGCGGUGGGACAUCUGAGGUUGGAGGGUGGUGAUGGCUUGCCUCGACUGUGGGGUGUCACCAUAACCCUUCUGAGAUGUUUGCAUGAACUUCUGUAGAAGUAAUGACUGGCAGCUGCCAAGGGAAGAUGAGACCUAUAGGCAUGGCCUCAGGCAAGCUUGAGUUUAAAAGGAUGAGUAGGGAGAUGGAGUGGAGUAGGUCCUUAGUUCCCCUCCUGUUUUGGUAGUUGUGGAGUCUGGGAGGACAGUCAAAGGCAUCCCUACAGAGUCCUUGCUGCGUCUGGCUCCUUGUGUCCCUGGAGGGAGGCAGCUAGUGAACUCCACCCUGGAGAAGGGCUGCACGUCCUUCCUCACGUGGUUCCUCCAUUUGUUUCCUACCUUUGCUGACACCUGCUGGUUGCCAGGUCUUGGGCUGGGACUAGCCGACCCACUGAUAGAGCAGACAAAGUAUGUACCCUUUGGGACCCCAAGUUGACAUUUUGUGCAAAGCAGAUAAUGCUGCCCCGUUAGCUUUGUCAUUCCAGAAGCAGCGUGGGUUUCAGACACCACCUCCCAUUAAUGCUGGCUAGAAGCGGGAACAUCCCUUUCACACUAGCUGUUUCCAGGGAGUUUAAGCUUUGAGAUCUCAGGUCACGGUAGAGAAGUGGCUCUCAAGCUCAGUGGGGUUGCUGCAAUGUCUAGGCCUCCCACUGAAUCCCUCCUGUGACAGGCCUGAGGAAUGGCUUUUCUAGAAGUUUCCGUGUGAGGACUGUGAGGCUGGCCCAGGGUCAGUUACCAAGAAGGUCGUCUUUACUGUUAGACAGACUUCCCACCAUGCUUGUUUGCCAAAGCUUGAGUUUCCUCUGCUAACAAUACUUCAGGUUCUGCUGAGCCCUUUGAGCGCCUAGUUCAGAGGCUUGCUGAGUAUCCUAUGGCUGAGAAUUUUUGUGCUCUACCAACGUUAGAUGCGACCCUUGCACCAACUUGAGGUUCACCAGCCGCGUUUACUUUCUGGUGGAGGAGAAGCCAAACUGAGUCUGAGUCUGCCCUGCUCUUGUAGUGUCUUGGUCACUUGGCUGUGACCCAGAACACACUGUCCUUAGAGUUAACAUACCAAGCAAGAAUAGGAGGGUCUUUCCCGGUGGCAGUUUCAAUCUAUAUGAACAUAUACUCCAGCUAUGCAAUGACAAGGACCUUUUUGGGAAUCGCUGAGUUAUUUUUCAUUUGGAGGCAUGGGGACAUAGUGUCAGCUGUGGUGGCAUCCUUUGUUUUGUGUCACAUUCACCCGAUUCACGCCCCUGGCCAUGAUUGAGGUAGGUUCCAAUGUCAUUUUAUUUCACGAGGGGGUAUUCUGAGGCUUGGCAAGAGGAGAAAGCUUUGUCAUCUGGUCCCCUGCCCAGAGAUUUUUGCUCGGGGCCUGCAGCUCUUCAGUGACUUCACCUCUUCUGGAAGCUUGAGUACUAAGAAACGCCAGUUUUUGGGGGGGGGGGGGAAGUGUUCUGAAGCUUGAAGUUGGACACCUGAGACUGAAGCGCCCAUUCCAGGAUUGUGCCAGUGCAUUGACAUCCUGGAUUGCGGCCUCCAGUAUUGUCUGUGUUUAGUGGGAGACCUAUAGACUGUGGAGGUCAAGGAAGAUGUAUGGCCUCGACUCACACUGGACUGUUGUGUUUGCAUUAGAAGAGUAAAGGUUUCCCGUGUUCUCGCUUUGAUAACUGUUAGAGAGUUAGCCCCUUUGAAGGUAAUCUAAGGAUGUAGUCUCUGGGCCACUAAGAAAUAAGUCCUUAUCACUUGCUGACAAGGUUGUAGAGAGAAACUCUGGUUUGGAAGAGGAAGAAGGGAAGUUUCUCUCUGUGCAUGUGCGUGUGUGUGUGUGUGUGUGUAAGACACCCUUCUGUCACUCCUGUGGUUUCGUUGGGAUGUUUCUAGAGUCCACACGGGCACAGUUGUUACUUGCCUCAGCUAGUGGAAUGAAUGGUCCUAACAUUUACUCAUCCUGUGUUCUCAGUUUCAUAUAAAGUCUGGGAAGGGGAAACUGAGGCUGAAAGAAUGAGCCGUAGAAGCUUACCCCAGUGGCACCCUGCUCAGCAGUGCGUGUCUAGAUUUGGCAAAUGUUCCUUGGAGGAGCUGGGUCAGUGGCUUCUCUGCUGUCCAGCUUCCUAAACAGCCUCUCGGCUGUGCUGUCCCUCCUGGUCUGUUGUUCUCUUUGAGACAGUCUCCCUGUGUCCUCCAGACUGACCUUUAAACUCAUGGUCUUUGUGCCUCAGUCUCCCCAGUGCUGGAAUUACAAGUCUGUGUCGCUAUUCCUGGCUUCCUGUCCCCACUUCUGAUCCGAAUCCCAUUUUCUACUCCAAGCACGACCAUCCCAUCACUGGGCCCGAGGCCCGAGCCCCUUCCAGGUCUGCGGCUCACGAUCCUUACAGUAGCAGGACACCUUCCUGAGUGCUCUGCUGUAGACGUGUGUGUGUGUGUGUGUGUGUGUGUGUGUGUGUGUGUGUGUGUCCUUAGCCUCCUUCACAAUGCUGCAUUCCAGUUCGUAUUCAACAGCCACUGUCUCAGUAGUUCUUCAUAGGACAAGAUCACAGUGCCUGGACCAACUUAGUGAGGAAAAGACAAGCUCUUCUCUUACCGACAAUCCCUUUCCCUUAAGGCUGUGAGGGGCAAGGUCCCCUGUCCGGGUGAUGUGGCUGAAAAAGAAAUAGAGCAUUUCUCUUGCAAGGUUCCCUUGGGUAUGGAAGUUCAUUCCUUACUCCCAGUAUCUGGGAGACAGCGGCAGGCAGAUCUUUGUGAGUUCAAGGCCAGCCUGAUCUAUGUAACAAGUUCUAGGCCAGCCAGGGUUACAUAAAGAGAUUGUGUCUUAGUCAGGGUUUCUAUUCCUGCACAAACAUCAUGACCAAGAAGCAAGUUGGGGAGGAAAGGGUUUAUUCAGCUUACACUUCCACAUUGCUGUUCAUCACCAAAGGAAGUCAGGACUGGAACUCAAGCAGGUCAGGAAGCAGGAGCUGAUGCAGAGGCCAUGGAGGGAUGUUACUUACUAGCUUGCUUCCCCUGGCUUGCUUAGCUUGGUAUCUUAUAGAACCCAAGACCACCAGCCCAGGGCCCUCUUCCCUUGAUCACUAGUUGAGAAAAUGCCUUACAGCUGGAUCUCAUAGAGGCAUUUCCUCAAGGGAGGCUUCUUUCUCUGUGAUAACUCCAGCUUGUGUCAAGUUGACACAUUAAACCAGCCAGUAUAGACUGUGUCUCGGAAGAAUAGAACCAAAUUAAAAAAAAAAAAUCGAAAACUCUUAACUAGGUAAAGCUGAGUGGUAGGAGAAAAUAUGGGGUCAUCUUUUUCUUUCUUUUGAAUAACAGAAAUAUUUUACUAAGGCACAAGGUUUGUAGAAAUGUAUUUUCAGACACGCUAUACAAAAUGGUUGUAAGGAGUGUUUGACGUCUCAGGACAUGCACCCUUGGCAUCAAACCACAUUAGGUUUGAGAUUGUGCUUUUUAGCAUUCUUGUUAUGGUUUGGAUAAUUGAACCUAUUCAUAUGUACAUUAAAUAAAGAUGGACCUGACUAAAGAAUGUAUUCUAAAGAACUAAUUAACUGUGGUUUAUUUAUUUAUUGGCCAAGGGGAUGUAUGCCAGGCCUGACAUCCACAUGGAGGUCGGGAGUCAGUUCUUUUUUUCCACUGUGUGGUUUCUCCCGAUUGACCUCAGGUCACCAGGCAUAGUGGUAACCUUCACCACUUCAGCCAUAUCACUGGCCCUGUUUAGCUGCUUAAAAAACAAAAAUCCUAUUUUUAGAUUAACUUAAUUUUUUUUCUUUUUUUUUUUUCUUUUUUUUUUCGGAGCUGGGGACCGAACCCAGGGCCUUGUGCUUGCUAGGCAAGCGCUCCACCACUGAGCUAAAUCCCCAACCCCUUAACUUAAUUUUUAUGUGAGUGUUUUACCUGUAUAUACGUCUAUUCACCGCAUGCUUGCCCAGUACCCUUGAGGUCAGAAGAGGCUGUUGGAUCUCCUAGAACAGGAGUUACAGAUGGUUGUGAACCACUAUGAGGGUAUUGGGACUCGAACCCGGGGCCCUCUGCAAGAGCUGUCAGGUGCAGCCAUGUUCCUAACAAUGCCAUGAGAUCCUCACAUAAAGGGAAAGGGGAAACAUCCCGUGAAUUUAAAAUAAGACCAAUCUUUCCCUAAAAAUGUGAGAUAAAAAUACCCACACUCCUUCAGUUGGCCUUGACAACUACCUUUAUUCUUAGUCCAUUAUACCUAAGUCAUGAUGCAGAAACAAGCAAAAGUCCAUGCCAUCGCUUUACAGCGUGGUUCAGAACAGGACAGAUUUGCUCGUGUGCAGUUCAUCACCAGAGGACUGAAGAGCCCUGGUCUUUUAUUCUGAUGUUUCUAAGACAGAUUUAUUAAGUGCAAACAAAAAAGAAGGCAGUCUUGGCUGAACAGACGUGGCACAUACUUGGUCAGACUGACUUACAUGCGACUCACCGUGUGGAGUCUGCUCCUGCUUCUACUGUGUAGCGUCGUUGGUUUUCCACAGAUCUGCUAGUUAGUCAUCUGGGUUAAGAGCCCUGAACAAAGGGAUCCGUAGCAGAAUUUGUGUAGAGCUUCAGGGUCGGGGAAUCACUUAUCUUCUAAAACAUCUAAACGUGUUCUUCUCAAUUUAACUAAAUUAGGCUGCUAAUCUGUGGCACAGCCACAUCUACAGCUAAAGUUAUGAAGCUAGCACAGCUGCUUGACAAAGAUCCAGCUGAGCCACGGGAUGCUAUUACGGUCAUGGCGGUCCUUCACUUUUGGUCUUCGUGUCCAUGUGUUGAGUGCUUGGGGGCUUUUAACAUUUUUACACCUUGAGGAUAUUGGAUUGAUGGGAAAAAUUUUUUUAAAGAUGUAUUUAUUUACUAUAUAUAAGUACACUGUAGCUGUCUUCAGAUGCACCAGAAGAGGGCAUCAGAUCCCAUUACAGAUGGUUGUGAACCACCAUGUGGUUGCUGGGAUUUGAACUCAGGACCUCUGGAAGAGCAGUCAAUGCUCUUAACCACUGAGCCAUCUCUCCAGUCCUGAUGGGAAAUUUCUUAUGGAUUAUUCAUUCCCUCUCCCAGGAGCACUGCUUCUAAAGCUUCCUCGGGAAAGUCCUGAGCAGACCACUGCUCCUGCUUUUAGGGAGGUAACACUAUCUAGCCCGACUUGAAGGUCUUCCUUACGCCCUGUAGGUUGCAGCUCAAAGAUGGCAGAGGUCUCCUUGUAAGGCUCUGACUCCAAGACUCUGUAGUUACUCAGGAACAAGAAAAUCAGAACAAGGCAGUUUGGCAGCACAUAAGAUCGGGGUCCUGCAUGUGGUUUACCCCUUGAAGAAAAGACACAGCAACCAAGAUUGGCUGGAAUUAUCUCUGCCCUACACAGGGGCUUAUCCUGAUGGACAAAGAAUGGUGUGGGUAAAUGGAAAAAUAAAGUUAGAAAAG